CAGGGUGUAGCUCAGUAGGUAGAGUGCCGGUUUUGGAAACCGGAGGUCGUGGGAUCGUGACCCACCACCCUGACCA
RNAcentral lists this transfer RNA (76 nucleotides) under Ruegeria phage vB_RpoS-V10. RNAcentral describes it as "tRNA-Pro". It matches the Rfam family "tRNA". Rfam says of the family: Transfer RNA (tRNA) molecules are approximately 80 nucleotides in length. The record is from RNAcentral. Lineage: Duplodnaviria; Heunggongvirae; Uroviricota; Caudoviricetes.